GAUGAAGAACGUAGCGAAAUGCGAUACGUAAUGUGAAUUGCAGAUCUCUCAGUGAACCAUCGAAUCUUUGAACGCACAUUGCGCCCGCCAGCAUUCUGGCGGGCAUGCCUGUCCGAGCGUCAUUUCAACCCUCAGGGUCCCUCCGCCUCGCGCGGUCGGAGCCUGGUGUUGGGGAUCGGCCCGCCCCGCGCGGCGCCGUCCCCCAAAUACAGUGGCGGUCCCGCCGCAGCCUCCCCUGCGCAGUAGUUAUCAACUCGCACUGGAGCGCGGCGCGGCCACGCCGUAAAACCCCCGACUUUUAGAAAGUUGACCUCGGAUCAGGUAGGAAUACCCGCUGAACUUAAGCAUAUCAAUAAGCGGAGGA
RNAcentral lists this unclassified non-coding RNA (364 nucleotides) under soil metagenome. RNAcentral's name for it is "partial contains 5.8S ribosomal RNA, internal transcribed spacer 2, and large subunit ribosomal RNA". The stretch from base 1 to 122 matches the Rfam family "5.8S ribosomal RNA", at positions 35 to 154 of the family's 154-position model. The record is from RNAcentral.